AUGCACGCUGGCGGCGUGCCUCAUCCCUGCAAGUCGCGCGCACGGACGAGAAGCUUGCUUCCCUGAUGUUAGCGGCGGACGGGUGAGUAACACGUGGAUAACCUACCUAUAAGACUGGGAUAACUUCGGGAAACCGGAGCUAAUACCGGAUGAUAUUUUGAACCGCAUGGUUCAAAAGUGAAAGACGGUCUUGCUGUCACUUAUAGAUGGAUCCGCGCUGCAUUAGCUAGUUGGUAAGGUAACGGCUUACCAAGGCAACGAUGCAUAGCCGACCUGAGAGGGUGAUCGGCCACACUGGAACUGAGACACGGUCCAGACUCCUACGGGAGGCAGCAGUAGGGAAUCUUCCGCAAUGGGCGAAAGCCUGACGGAGCAACGCCGCGUGAGUGAUGAAGGUCUUCGGAUCGUAAAACUCUGUUAUUAGGGAAGAACAUAUGUGUAAGUAACUGUGCACAUCUUGACGGUACCUAAUCAGAAAGCCACGGCUAACUACGUG
Molecule: ribosomal RNA, 496 nt
Filed under: uncultured bacterium
Lineage: Bacteria
Description: partial 16S ribosomal RNA
Rfam family: Bacterial small subunit ribosomal RNA
Source: RNAcentral